RNAcentral lists this long non-coding RNA (1401 nucleotides) under Nicotiana tabacum (common tobacco). RNAcentral's name for it is "long non-coding RNA (NTAB_LNC007468)". Lineage: Eukaryota; Viridiplantae; Streptophyta; Magnoliopsida; Solanales; Solanaceae. The record is from RNAcentral.
AAAGAUGGCAAAAAGGAAGGCUUUACUAAAGCACAACAUUUUUUAUACACAACAUAGAUCUUAACUACUAGUGCUACUGCUUUAAGACAGGUAGAAAGGAGAGGGGGAGAGAGAGAGAGAGAGAGAAUGAAGUUCUUGUUCCAGUGUCCAUGUUGUUCUUGUUUCUGCUUCAUGAAGCCACAGAAAGGCAAACCAAAAGCUAAAGUGGAAGAAGCUAAACCUAAGGAUAAGAAGGUGGAAGAAGCCAAACCUAAAGAUAAGAAGGUGGAAGAAGCCAAGCCAAAAGAGAAGGAAGAAAGCAAACCAGAAUGCUAGUAGAGGCAAUGGCAAAUGCAGCUAUAUUAUUCUAAUAGAAGUAUUGUUCUUCAUUUACUAGUUAUAAUUUUUAUGGUGUUUUCCAAUUUCCAUCCAUAUGGGGUGCAAUCUUUAACACUUUUUUGGAAAAAGCCAGUACUACUUCUCCUGCUAAUGUAUUUUUAUAAGAAAAUAGUUGCACUUUAUUCACUCUGAAAGGCAAACCUUACUUCUGAAUUGUGUUGCUCGGAUUCUUAAAAAAUGUCACCACAUCUGUGGCGGAUUCUCAAAAAAUGUGUAGCUUUUGGAGGAUCCUACACACCCCGACAACAAUUUUUGAAGGAUACUACAUUGAGUCAGCAGCUAUUUCAGUUUUAAGAUAGAUAAUAGGAUGAUUGACUGGGGGCAUAUUCUAUUCGAAGUGUGUUUUAUUGAAAAUUCCGGACUUUUAAGUUCCUCUUUAGUCAGUGUAGACAGUAGAUACAAAUGCCAUCUGCACUAAACAAGCAUCUUGAACAAGUAUACUGUAGUCUUUUAAAAAGUUAGGUAAUUAGAUAAGAUCUGAAAACACAUAAUCCUUUAUCACUUUAUGUGGAUCUUGGAGUGUAUGAUAUAGAAGCUGAAUUCCUAUUCAUUGAUAGUCUAUUUCCUUUUUAGGUCUGUGUAAAUAAAACCAAUUUACUUUUCCCUUUACCCUCCCCUCUCUUACUGAGAUUACAAAACAUAUAUUCUUGUGAGCCAAUGCUGAGUAUAUAAGUUGGUGAUAUCAAAUCUAGAGGUUAAUAGUACUCUCAGUGGCGGAUGUAAAAUUUCAGCUAAACAAGUUGCUUGAAGUCCUUUGUAUAAGUCUAGGUCUAGUUUCAUCUAAAUAUAGAUUAGUUUUACUUUAUUUGUUUAUUAUGUCUUUCAAUCUUUACUUAUGUCAUGUGUUGUUGCUUAGGCUUGCUUUUUAAAAAGAUAUAUAGGGCUAUAAUAGUUGAAGUUUCAACAAUCACUCAAAUCUCUAUAAUGGUGUUUUCACCUACCUAGUACCACAUUGGCUUUCUUCUAAUCGUGACUCUCUAAAUUAGUGUAAAUUCUUCUAAAUUGAAAAGAACAAAUAAAAAA